AUUUAUAAAAUUUUAAAAAUUUGAAUAAAAUAGUCCGAAUCCAGUUUUAUUUUUAUAAAUCAGAAUAAAAUACAAAUUUUUAGAUAAUAUUUAUUAUUCGCGAAUAAUUUGCGUAUACUGAACUAUUCGACCAAAAAAAUACAUAGAAUUUUUGGAUAAAAUUUUUUUCUCCAUUAUUUACGAAUUAUUAUCAAAUUAUUCGUAAAUUAUUGAAAUAAUUUUUUGAACUUUCGAAAUUUGUGGAUUAUGAAAAAGAUAAAGAUGGAGGCGACAAUAAAUUUUUCUUUUUUUUUCUAUUUUAUUUAAUAGCUAAAUUUUUUAUCCUAAAUUUUUAAUAGUGGAACAUAUAAUUUUCGUAUAUAUCGCGUAUUCGAAUAAUUACGAAGCUUUUUUUAAACUGUAUUUUUCAACAAAUUUAAAAAUUAGGAGACAUUUUAUUCAUAUUAUAUUCAUAACGAACUUUUGCUGAAUCAGAAUUAACUAACUAUGUUGGCUACUAGUUUUUAAAAUCGAUGAUAAUGAUGACAUUAGCUGAUUAGCAUAUCCACACUUACUAUAUGUAGAUCGAUUUUAAGAAAAUUAGUUAUUGAUAAAAUUAUAUAAAAUUUACUUGAACUAUAAAUUAUUUUGAAUUUCACAAUAGAAUAUUUUAAAUUUUUUAUUUUUACCCACUAAUCUCUUAAUUUGUUUGACUUGAGACCGUCAACAGUAAUUUGACUGCAAAACUGAAGAUAUUUUUUAUUUUAAUAAAUUUAGAGUUGUCAAAAUCAUUUAAAAUAUGCAAACUAAAUAUAUAAAGAUAAAGGACACAUUCGAAUUUUGAACUCAAAAUAAUGUUGACCAAUUAAAAUCAAACAAAUCGAAAGAUUGUAUGAUAAAAUCAAAAUUUUAAAAGAUUAGACAAUCGUAUUGAAGAAGCUCCAUAGUUUAAGUUUUGUACGUUUUUAUCUUGGUUAUUUUGUAGAUAAUAUAUGUUGAUUAUAUUACAAUAUAGAGAGAACGAGAAUUGAGUUAAAGAGUACUUUUACAUUAUAUUUCAGGGACAUUUGUAUCGUCGUUUGAGGUUGUUAAACAUAAUAUAUAGUAUGUAAACUUCAUAAAAUAAUUAAAUUUUAUAAUUCUAAAAUAUUAUGUAUCUACUGUCGACUAAUGUUACUGCUAAUAAUUUUUAAUGACAAAUAUAUGAUAUAUUUGAUACCACUCAAAUUAGUCACUACAAAUGAAAUUUAAUUUCUAAUAAUCUAUUUGCGUAGAUCAUAUUUAAUAUGAAAUUUAAUUUCUAAUGAUCUAUUUGUGUAGAUCAUAUUUAAUAAUUUUAAUGGUGAACACGAGAACAUGGUAGAGCUAUUUAAUCGAAAUGA
This 1361-nucleotide long non-coding RNA is filed under the name Ananas comosus (pineapple). RNAcentral describes it as "long non-coding RNA (ACOM_LNC023774)". The record is from RNAcentral. Lineage: Eukaryota; Viridiplantae; Streptophyta; Magnoliopsida; Poales; Bromeliaceae.